GACGAACGCUGGCGGCGUGCUUAACACAUGCAAGUCGAACGAAGUGGCGAACGGGUGAGUACUACGUGGGUAACUGCCCUCCUUUUGGGGAUAAGCCUUGGAAACGGGGUCUAAUACCGAAUAAAGGGGGAUGGGCUCGCGGCCGAUCAGCUUGUUGGUGGGGAGAUGGCUGACCAAGGCGGGGACGGGUAGCCGGCCUGAGGGGGGACCGGCCACAUUGGGCUUAGAUACGGCCCAGACUCCUACGGGAGGCAGCAGUGGGGAAUAUUGCACAAUGGGCGCAAGCCUGAUGCAGCCAUGCCGCGUGAGUGAAGAAGGCCUUCGGGUUGUAAAGCACUUUCGGCGAGGAGGCUUAAUACGCUCAUCAAUUGACGUUACUCGCAGAAGAAGCACCGGCUAACUCCGUGCCAGCAGCCGCGGUAAUAC
Molecule: ribosomal RNA, 426 nt
Filed under: uncultured bacterium
Lineage: Bacteria
Description: partial 16S ribosomal RNA
Rfam family: Bacterial small subunit ribosomal RNA
Source: RNAcentral